CCCUUAGAUGUCCGGGGCCGCACGCGCGCUACACUGAAGGAAUCAGCGUGGCUUUCUCCCUGACCCGAAAGGGUUGGGAAACCCGUUGAAUCUCCUUCGUGAUAGGGAUUGGGGCUUGAAAUUGUUCCCCAUGAACGAGGAAUUCCCAGUAAGCGCGAGUCAUAAGCUCGCGUUGAUUACGUCCCUGCCCUUUGUACACACCGCCCGUCGCUACUGCCAACUGAGAUGGGUCCUGAAUUGUUAGGAACGCCCGUCAAGGGGCCUACCCGGUCCCUAGUGCGGUGACGAGAAUAACUGUAAAUGGCAUAUCUUGUAGGGAGUAAAAGUCGUAACA
This 334-nucleotide ribosomal RNA is filed under the name uncultured eukaryote. RNAcentral's name for it is "partial 18S ribosomal RNA". It matches the Rfam family "Eukaryotic small subunit ribosomal RNA", at positions 1470 to 1796 of the family's 1831-position model. The record is from RNAcentral.